Molecule: ribosomal RNA, 477 nt
Filed under: uncultured bacterium
Lineage: Bacteria
Description: partial 16S ribosomal RNA
Rfam family: Bacterial small subunit ribosomal RNA
Source: RNAcentral
AUUGAACGCUGGCGGCAUGCCUUACACAUGCAAGUCGAACGGUAACAGGUUAAGCUCACGCGUGUCGGACUGGCGAGUAAUGUAUCGGAACGUGCCCAGUCGUGGUGGAUAACUGCUCGAAAGAGCAGCUAAUACCGCAUACGCCCUGAGGGUGUAAGCGGGGGAUCGCAAGACCUCGCGUGUUUGGAGCUUCCGAUAUCAGAUUAGCUAGUUGGGGAGGUAAAGGCUCACCAAGGCGACGCUCCGUAGCUGGUCUGAGAGGACGAACAGCCACACUGGGACUGAGACACGGGCCAGACUCCUACGGGAGGCAGCAGGGGGGAAUAUUGGAAAAUGGGGGCAAGCCUGAUCCAGCCAUACCGCGGGGGGGAAGAAGGCCUUCGGGUUGUAAAGCCCUUUUGUUGGGAAAGAAAAGCAGCAGGGUAAUACCCCGGUGUUCUGACGGUAACCAAAGAAUAAGCACCGGCUAACUUCGUG